RNAcentral lists this ribosomal RNA (274 nucleotides) under uncultured bacterium. RNAcentral's name for it is "partial 16S ribosomal RNA". It matches the Rfam family "Bacterial small subunit ribosomal RNA", at positions 523 to 796 of the family's 1533-position model. The record is from RNAcentral.
AUACGGAGGGGGCUAGCGUUGUUCGGAAUUACUGGGCGUAAAGCGUACGUAGGCGGACUGAUCAGUUGGGGGUGAAAUCCCAGGGCUUAACCCUGGAACUGCCUUCAAUACUGUCAGUCUUGAGAUUGGAAGAGGUGAGUGGAAUUCCUAGUGUAGAGGUGAAAUUCAUAGAUAUUAGGAGGAACACCAGUGGCGAAGGCGGCUCACUGGCCCAUUACUGACGCUGAGGUACGAAAGCGUGGGGAGCAAACAGGAUUAGAAACCCCAGUAGUCC